UGGCGGACGGGUGAGGAAUACAUCGGAAUUUGCCCAGUCGUGGGGGAUAACGUAGGGAAACUUACGCUAAUACCGCAUACGACCUAACGGUGAAAGCGGGGGAUCGCAAGACCUCGCGCGAGUGGAUGAGCCGAUGUCGGAUUAGCUAGUUGGCGGGGUAAAGGCCCACCAAGGCGAAGAUCGGUAGCCGGCCUGAGAGGGCACACGGCCACACUGGCACUGAAACACGGGCCAG
This 235-nucleotide ribosomal RNA is filed under the name uncultured bacterium. Its description in RNAcentral is "partial 16S ribosomal RNA". It matches the Rfam family "Bacterial small subunit ribosomal RNA", at positions 96 to 334 of the family's 1533-position model. The record is from RNAcentral.